This 27-nucleotide small RNA is filed under the name Bombyx mori (domestic silkworm). RNAcentral describes it as "ovarian small RNA-19765". Lineage: Eukaryota; Metazoa; Arthropoda; Insecta; Lepidoptera; Bombycidae. The record is from RNAcentral.
UAAUGCUAAAAUAACUACUGCCGCAUU